RNAcentral lists this ribosomal RNA (427 nucleotides) under uncultured bacterium. RNAcentral describes it as "partial 16S ribosomal RNA". It matches the Rfam family "Bacterial small subunit ribosomal RNA", at positions 355 to 774 of the family's 1533-position model. The record is from RNAcentral.
UGGGGAAUAUUGCACAAUGGGCGCAAGCCUGAUGCAGCCAUGCCGCGUGUAUGAAGAAGGCCUUCGGGUUGUAAAGUACUUUCAGCGAGGAGGAAGGCAUUGUGGUUAAUAACCGCAGUGAUUGACGUUACUCGCAGAAGAAGCACCGGCUAACUCCGUGCCAGCAGACGCGGUAAUACGGAGGGUGCAAGCGUUAAUCGGAAUUACUGGGCGUAAAGCGCACGCAGGCGGUCUGUCAAGUCGGAUGUGAAAUCCCCGGGCUCAACCUGGGAACUGCAUCCGAAACUGGCAGGCUAGAGUCUUGUAGAGGGGGGUAGAAUUCCAGGUGUAGCGGUGAAAUGCGUAGAGAUCUGGAGGAAUACCGGUGGCGAAGGCGGCCCCCUGGACAAAGACUGACGCUCAGGUGCGAAAGCGUGGGGAGCAAACA